Long non-coding RNA from Alosa sapidissima (American shad), 264 nucleotides. RefSeq lists it as uncharacterized. Lineage: Eukaryota; Metazoa; Chordata; Actinopteri; Clupeiformes; Clupeidae. The record is from RefSeq and is a predicted model, not a curated record. The transcript has 2 exons.
CUCAAUCUUCAGUCAUGCUCCGAUCACUCAUCACAUUCACUGUCUCUCUGUUCUCUUUUCCAGAAUUUUUACUUUGUAAUGAUGUCCAUCAGCUUCCUAAUGAGCGUUUGUGCCACCCUGAUGAUAAACCUGAGAUCAGCUGCAGCCAUAACAUUAAGAGCUACGAUACCAUCCUGUGGUACCAACAAAAAGAAGGAGACACGGCUAUGAAUCUCAUAGGCUAUAUUUCCUAUAAAGUCACCAAAAUCGUAGAGGAUCCCUGGA